UACGGGGGGGCAAGCGUUGUUCGGAAUUACUGGGCGUAAAGGGCUCGUAGGUGGCCAACUCAGUCAGACGUGAAAUCCCUCAGCUUAACUGGGGAACUGCGUCUGAUACUGGAUGGCUUGAGUUUGGGAGAGGGAUGCGGAAUUCCAGGUGUAGCGGUGAAAUGCGUAGAUAUCUGGAGGAACACCGGUGGCGAAGGCGGCAUCCUGGACCAACACUGACACUGAGGAGCGAAAGCCAGGGGAGCAAACGGG
This 252-nucleotide ribosomal RNA is filed under the name uncultured bacterium. RNAcentral's name for it is "partial 16S ribosomal RNA". It matches the Rfam family "Bacterial small subunit ribosomal RNA", at positions 524 to 776 of the family's 1533-position model. The record is from RNAcentral.